RNAcentral lists this unclassified non-coding RNA (726 nucleotides) under Hevea brasiliensis (rubber tree). Lineage: Eukaryota; Viridiplantae; Streptophyta; Magnoliopsida; Malpighiales; Euphorbiaceae. The record is from RNAcentral.
GGGGUGUUGGGGUUUGGGGGGGUUAGGGAGGGGGGGGAGUUGGUGUUGGGGUGGAAGAGACAAGGUAUUAAGAUAAAUUGAAGAAAGCAAGUGGAAAUGAUCAACAAGGAUCAAAUAUCAACUCUUGGUAUAGACCCUUAAUGAAAUAGUAUCAUAAUUUGGCACCAACUGUUAUUGGAAAUAUUUUGCCUAAUAUAGAGACUUAACAAUCUAAAAUAGGGCAUGCAAAUGUGAAGAUGCUUGAAACUGAUCAACUGCCAGAAGAAAGAAAUUUCAAGCAUUCAUAGAUUCACAGGAAAAGAAUAAGCUUUGCCUAAACUCCAAAUACGUAUCAAUCUCCAGUUAUCCAACUGUUAGAUAUUUUGUUAUAUUAUUGCACAUAAGAGCUGUCAAACCUAAAUGGCUAAAUGAGAUAUGACAUUCCAAAGCACAAAAGACUGUUAACAGUUGAAAACGUGUAAAAAAACAUUUUGCCUUAAGCAAAAAAUAACCCCCAAGGCUCCACCAAAUCCAACCCAACCCGUGUAGGCUUCUGAUCUAAACAUGUCCAAUCCAAUCAUGUUAUGCCAAGGGACUUUGGUACAUGAAAGUUCACAUAUAAGCAAGCAGCAGUGAAUCAAUUUCAGAAAAGCAGGAUCAUUUCAAGAGUAACAAAAAAGAAAAAAAAGUCUUUCUUUUUUUUUAAGGUUUUGACAUGAUUCCGAAAAAUCUCUCUCUCUCUCUCUC